CUAUACAUGCAAGUCGUACGCUUCUUUUUCCACCGGAGCUUGCUCCACCGGGAAAAGAAGAGUGGCGAACGGGUGAGUAACACGUGGGUAACCUGCCCAUCAGAAGGGGAUAACACUUGGAAACAGGUGCUAAUACCGUAUAACAAUCGAAACCGCAUGGUUUUGAUUUGAAAGGCGCUUUCGGGUGUCGCUGAUGGAUGGACCCGCGGUGCAUUAGCUAGUUGGUGAGGUAACGGCUCACCAAGGCCACGAUGCAUAGCCGACCUGAGAGGGUGAUCGGCCACAUUGGGACUGAGACACGGCCCAAACUCCUACGGGAGGCAGCAGUAGGGAAUCUUCGGCAAUGGACGAAAGUCUGACCGAGCAACGCCGCGUGAGUGAAGAAGGUUUUCGGAUCGUAAAACUCUGUUGUUAGAGAAGAACAAGGAUGAGAGUAACUGUUCAUCCCUUGACGGUAUCUAACCAGAAAGCCACGGCUAACUACGUGCCAGCAGCCGCGGUAAUACGUAGGUGGCAAGCGUUGUCCGGAUUUAUUGGGCGUAAAGCGAGCGCAGGCGGUUUCUUAAGUCUGAUGUGAAAGCCCCCGGCUCAACCGGGGAGGGUCAUUGGAAACUGGGAGACUUGAGUGCAGAAGAGGAGAGUGGAAUUCCAUGUGUAGCGGUGAAAUGCGUAGAUAUAUGGAGGAACACCAGUGGCGAAGGCGGCUCUCUGGUCUGUAACUGACGCUGAGGCUCGAAAGCGUGGGGAGCAAACAGGAUUAGAUACCCUGGUAGUCCACGCCGUAAACGAUGAGUGCUAAGUGUUGGAGGGUUUCCGCCCUUCAGUGCUGCAGCUAACGCAUUAAGCACUCCGCCUGGGGAGUACGACCGCAAGGUUGAAACUCAAAGGAAUUGACGGGGGCCCGCACAAGCGGUGGAGCAUGUGGUUUAAUUCGAAGCAACGCGAAGAACCUUACCAGGUCUUGACAUCCUUUGACCACUCUAGAGAUAGAGCUUCCCCUUCGGGGGCAAAGUGACAGGUGGUGCAUGGUUGUCGUCAGCUCGUGUCGUGAGAUGUUGGGUUAAGUCCCGCAACGAGCGCAACCCUUAUUGUUAGUUGCCAUCAUUUAGUUGGGCACUCUAGCAAGACUGCCGGUGACAAACCGGAGGAAGGUGGGGAUGACGUCAAAUCAUCAUGCCCCUUAUGACCUGGGCUACACACGUGCUACAAUGGGAAGUACAACGAGUCGCGAAGUCGCGAGGCUAAGCUAAUCUCUUAAAGCUUCUCUCAGUUCGGAUUGUAGGCUGCAACUCGCCUACAUGAAGCCGGAAUCGCUAGUAAUCGCGGAUCAGCACGCCGCGGUGAAUACGUUCCCGGGCCUUGUACACACCGCCCGUCACACCACGAGAGUUUGUAACACCCGAAGUCGGUGAGGUAACCUUUGGAGCCAGCCG
Molecule: ribosomal RNA, 1433 nt
Filed under: Enterococcus durans
Lineage: Bacteria; Bacillati; Bacillota; Bacilli; Lactobacillales; Enterococcaceae
Description: bacterial SSU rRNA
Rfam family: Bacterial small subunit ribosomal RNA
Source: RNAcentral